AUGGAAUCGAGUUCUUGUCAGAUCCAGUCGACAGAUGCGCCUCUGGCCCAUGUUGCAAGCCAAGCUUUAGUAUGCACGCCUGCUGAAUCCAGCAUUGGCGAUGCCGGGGGUGCCGCACUGGACUUACAAAUGGAGUUGAACAACACUUGCGAGGGGAUUGCUCUGUCCGCACCGGCGUCCGAGCAAUCUACAGGCGGAGACAACCCUCAAGCCCCUGGUUGGACUAAAAUAAUCCGUAUGGGGCGUGCACCUGAUGAACGACCCCCAUGUGCUGCCAGGAUGAGUGCGUUGGAAAUGGCAUUGCCAAGUUAUGCAGAAAAGAAAACUGAAACUGUCAUAGUUCCUGCUCUGGGAAGCAACUUCGAUACACUGGGGGAAGCCUAUGGUUACUACAAUCUAUAUUCAUGGGAGAUCGGCUUUGGAGUAAGAUAUGGCAAACGCCGGCUAAAUGUCGAAAAAGAACAAAAUGCAUGCAGGAGAUAG
This 483-nucleotide ribosomal RNA is filed under the name Triticum aestivum (bread wheat). RNAcentral describes it as "partial small subunit ribosomal RNA". Lineage: Eukaryota; Viridiplantae; Streptophyta; Magnoliopsida; Poales; Poaceae. The record is from RNAcentral.